GAGGAUUUGUUCUUUUCUAGCUGUGCUUAAACUCAGUGUUUAUUUCUAACAGCUAUCAUGAUGCUGCACUGUUUAUUACUUCUGUUUUCAGCAAUAGUGGAUGACAGUUCUCAGGAUGAAAUAACUGCAGUUAAAGCUAAAGUGCAUGUUCUGGAGGGAAACAGUGUUUCACUGUCAUGCACUUAUACAGCUGCUGUAGAAUCUCUGUACUGGUAUCGCCAAUACCCCAGAUCCAAACCUGAAUUCCUCGUCUUUGUUGUAAGCUCAGACAGGACAGAGGGACCGUUUACUGCUAAACACGAUAGAAAUAAUAAAACAGUAGUUCUGGCGAUCUCCGUCGCUGGAAUGACAGACUCUGCACUGUACUACUGUGCCCUGAGGCCCACAGUGACAGGAAACCCAUCAUCUCUGUGCAAAAACCUCACACGAAAUUUCAAUGUGGUACAAAGUACUAUAUUGAACCACUGACCCAUUUAUUAGGACACAUGAAAUAUAAUAUCAAACAUAUUUUCUUCUGCAGGUGACAGUUUUCAGUGCGGAAUUACAUCAGCAGCAAAUGCAGUGCAAGCUUUGGAGGGCAGCAGUGUCACACAGACUCUCAGCCCUUAAAAACAUUAAUUUCAGUACCUUCUGACCCCGUUUCAACAGACAGAAUUCAUAAACAAUUUCACACGUCCACAAGAUAAGACCCAAAAUGAGGGGAUUUUGCGUUUUUUUCCUUCUUCAUCUUUUUCCUGCCUGAUUACAUCAUCACAAAUGCUCCAGGCCCACAAUGAACACGUCUCCCCAUUGGACAUUUACAUACAUCUGCCAAUAAUCACAACGAAUACAGACACAAAAUGGACAUAUAUGCAAAUGCACACGUUUAAAAAAAUAAAACUUUGCAGUUAUGAUGUCUGCUUAGCUAGUAGCUCACUGGGUAGCUAGUUUGCUUUAGGAAUGUUUUGGACAACUAACAGACAUGGGUUCAAUUCCCUCCUUGGAAUCAAGCGAGCUUCAAACUCAUUACACUGGCUUGCUGGCUAACUAAACAUUCAAACUAUUUCUUCUGUAUCUGUAAAACUGUAAAUUUUAAACUCUACAAUUUUUUUUUAGUUUAACGUUAGCUACCUUGCUAAUGACACAACAGACCGAGUGUACAAUCUUAGUACAGACACCUCUGAAAUUAAGCAUCAAAAGUUAAUUGUGAUUUGGUCCGGUAGGUAACAUUCUCUAAAGAAUUACUUGAAACAAUUUAGGAAACAUUGGCUAGCAUUGCUUUGGAAUACAGCUGGUUCAAUUUGUCUGAGGUAAGAUAGUCAAUAUUGUUUCUGCUAACUUAGUGUCAUUUUGACAUCAAUACUUUUAAUUUCAGGCCUAGCUUUUGCCAGUUUGAAUGAAUGACUAUUUGACAGUGCUUUGUAUGUGUGAGUAACUUGGUAUUUGUGUACCAUGAAAAAGUGUUUAUAAUGCUGAUCUAAGAAUGAGUGUAUGACAAAUGUAAGCUGCCACUACCACCAGAGGCUGCAGGUGUGAAACCCCAGGGGGCGGGUAAUACAGGAGCUACAAGAACAAAACCUCUUCAGCACUGUGCUGUUAUGCCUCACUGAGAGAGAGGACACAUACAGGGACUUCAACACACUCUGACUACAAACACAAAUGCUUCCUUUAUUCAUUAUACUCUAUCACAGCAUAGGUGACAUACUAGGCGACUCCAUCCAUCAGAAUCACUUAGUACUCCUGAUGGAAAAUGAGAAAGCAUCAUUAUACUGUCAGUAUGAAACUACUGACCCUACUCCUUAUCUUUUUUGGUACAUCCAGCGAGAGAAUAAAUCACCAGAGCUCAUCCUCAGUAAUUAUAAUACCCAUGGAAGUGGUUAUAAAGAAGGACUCACAGCAGAUCAUGAGAAGUCAGACAAGACCUUUAAUCUGAAGAUAGCUGCAGCUGUGCUGUCUGACUCUGCCACAUACUACUGUGCUCUGAGGCCCACAUUGUGUGAGUCUGUUUCUCACCUCGUACCAAAACCUCCUUCCUCUGUGUCACACUCUAUAAGCUACACUUACCAGGCUUUCAAAAUGAGCUGAAAUUGAUUCACAGACUCAGAAUUAAUGUAUAGAAUUCUUCUUCGCUUAAAUAUUUUUCAUUCCAAUCUAAAUUGACUGCAGAUAAUGAGGGAAUAAACAAAACUCAAUGUGUAAAAUUGCACUUGUAUGGCAGUUCUUACUCUUCCAUUUUAUAGAAUAGUCAUAUUUUUCUUAACACACAAUUUCUCCCUUAACACACAAAGACGAGAAUUACGCUUAGUUUUCCAGGUUAAUGUUGUGUAUGAUACAGAGCCUGUCAGGGAUCUCUAUUCACACCAAUAAGUAUCUUCAUCUUAAUGAAAAGUGUAGUGCAGAGAAGGAAC
This is a long non-coding RNA of Anguilla anguilla (European eel), 2387 nucleotides long. RefSeq lists it as uncharacterized. NCBI's taxonomy places the organism in Eukaryota, Metazoa, Chordata, Actinopteri, Anguilliformes, Anguillidae. The transcript is spliced from 3 exons. The record is from RefSeq and is a predicted model, not a curated record.